GAGUCUGGAGGGGUGGGGUCGUAAAGGGACCCCUAGGCAGGCACAGCCCAGGGGCCACGCAUGCACCCUUCACUCCCCCACUGGCUGUGCGUGCAUAGGCGUGGACGGAACAAGCACCGUGCUCCAGAUAGGGAGCACCCCACCAGCCAGGGAACCCCAACCAGGCCCCAGCGGAAGGGUCUGGCAUCAGGUCCCUGGUGAGCUGGCGUGUGUCUCAGAGCAUUUGUUAGGGGUGGCUUGAUGGUCAGGCGAGCCUGUUGUGUGGGCCACCCCCCAUCAUCUGGAGGCAGGCAAGACAAGGUGCCCCUCCUCCCUCCACCAGCCCCGCCCAGAAACACCGGAAGGCAGCAUCAGGUAACCCAAGAAUGAGGUUGGCUGCUGAAUCUCCAGUGGUGACAGCUUGGUCUUCCAGAAAAAUCUCCAGGUCCCAAGGAGUUCCAGCAGUGUCCUAAGGCCCCCGAUGCAGCGUGCCCGCCCUUCCCCCAGGAUGGUCUCCUUGCCAAGGGGCGAGGCCAGCCCAGCGUCACCCCCGGCAGUGCCUCCAUGGAAACGCGCUUCUGGGGAGUGGAAGGCAGGUAUCAUGCGCUCCCAGUCGGGCCAGGAUGGAAAGGAUCUUCUCAUCUUUACAGUGGGCACAAUGACAGCCAAUUUCCACAAGGUGCCAGGCACGAGGAGAUGGUGAGCUUCCUGCUGAUCCAGGCCCAAACUUGGGGCUAAGAUGACGCCUUCUCUGCGAGUGGGAGCCAGGCCUACGGUGAGCGGGGUAGCCUGGGCCCUCCCAGGACUGUAGAGGAGAGGGCGGAAAGGCAGCCCCCGGCCUGGAAGGCCACCCCUUAGGCCAGCCAGGCCUCUAGCCCCAGAUGAUCGCCACUCUCAUGCGCAGAGUGACCCUGGGGACCCUGGGAUGAAACUCAUGCGUUUAUGAAAUAAGACCAGGAUUGAGCAUUGGAUGAGAUUGCUUAGGUGGAAAAGGUCGGGAAAGAGGGUGUGAGCUUGGUGCUGCGCUGGUGAAGGAUCAACCUGUCCAGAAACACUGUGGGCCACACAGGCCGGCGAGCAAAGCCAGAUUCCAGAACCCCUCCGGCUAGGUCCCCGUGGAGGGUGAGCGGGUGGGAGGGGCGCUUGGCCAGGCCGCAGAUCCCGCAGCUGGUGGAUAACUUUAGUUAUCUCUUCUCUCUCUCGCUCUCUUUUUUUCUGUUUAACGUUUUUCUAACACUUUUCUGUUUGCUUUCAACAAGUUAAAGAACUUUCUGUGGCAGCCGAGCGCGGUGGCUCACGCCUGUAAUCCCAGGGCGGCCAAAGCAGCAGAUCACUUGAGGUCGGGAGUUUGAGAACAGCCUGACUAACGUGGAGAAAACCCAUCUCUGGAACAAAAAAAGAAUGCAAAAUUAGCCGUGGCGCGUGCCUGUAAUCCCAGCUACUUGGGAGGCUGAGGCAGGAGAAUGGCUUGAAUCUGGGAGGCAGAGGUUGCAGUGACCUGAGAUCGCACCACACUACACUCCAGCCUGGGCAACAACAGCAAAACUCCAUCUCAAAAAAAAAGACCUUUUUUGUUUCAUUUAUUUGUUUAUUUUCCUGUGGUAAAAUAUGCAUAAGAUAAAAUGUACCCAUUUCAACCAUUUUUAGGUGUGCGGCUCAGUGGCAUGAAGCGUACACACAUUGUUGACAGUCAUCACCACCAUCCAUCUCUAGAACGUCUGGUCUUCCCAAACUGAAAGUCUUC
This 1723-nucleotide long non-coding RNA is filed under the name Saimiri boliviensis boliviensis (Bolivian squirrel monkey). Its description in RNAcentral is "lncRNA (ENSSBOG00000036558.1)". The record is from RNAcentral. Lineage: Eukaryota; Metazoa; Chordata; Mammalia; Primates; Cebidae.